GUAGCGGCGAGCGAACACGGAAGAGCCCAGCGCUGAAUCCCCCGGUCCGGUUCGGGCCGGCGGGAAAUGUAGCGUUAGGGAGCGCCCGUCAACCCGGUGCGCGCGCGGCGAGCCCAAGUCUCCCUUGAACGGUGCCACAAUCCAUAGAGGGUGCCAGGCCCGUACGGCCGCCGCCGCGCCCGAGUGGGCGUCUCCUGGGAGUCGGUCUGCUUGAGAACGCAGACCUAAGUGGGUGGUAAACUCCAUCUAAGGCUAAAUACGACCACGAGACCGAUAGCGCACAAGUACCGUGAGGGAAAGGUGAAAAGAACUUUGAAGAGAGAGUUCAAGAGUACGUGAAACUGGAGAGGUGAAAACGGAAGUGGCUCGAAAUUCCGAACGGUGGUGUUCAGUCUCACCGACCUCGGCGCCCGCGCCCGGGAGGACCCAAGGGCAUCCGCGGUCACGGCGCGCGUCGGCCCCCCCGCUCUGCGGGGGUGUGUCGGCCGCGUCGCCCGCGGUGCCCCUCCCGGUUUUGCGAUGGGAUCGGCUCGGGGCGGUGUGGAUGCACUCGCUGCCGUAGUAGGAUGUCGCGACCCGUCGGUGCGACGGUCAGUGAGGCCCUGGGGAGGCCAGCCCGGUGUCCGCGCGUCACGCACCCCUGGGGUAAAAUGCGUGCAGUACGGCCCGGACUCCCCGGUGUUCCUCUCCGUCUGCCCGGCGGUAUCGAAAGCGCGCCGGCCGCAGCCCCCCGCUGUAUCACGGCCCCAUGGCUGAACCGCCGAGGCGCCUCCCGCGGGCGCGGUCUCCCCUCGUGGGUGCCGCGCCUCUCGCGGGGCCAAAGGCGUCGGAGCGGUCCCCAGUUCGGGCAUGGCGGGGUGUGCGUAUGAAAGUCGGCCGGCUCGUCUGCGGCAUUGCCUGAUUCGGGUCCACUUCCGACCCGUCUUGAAACACGGACCAAGGAGCGUAACACAUGCGCGAGUCGAAGGGUGCUACUAAACCCGGAGGCGAAGCGAAAGCAUAAGGGGCGAUGGCAGAGUGGCGGUGGUGACGCGGUGCGUGUUCGGCCCUCACGGGUCGUCUCGCGUCCCGCCACCGUCCUGGUCGUGCUCUCCGGUCGCGGUGUCAAAGCCGCCUCCGGAUCCGGCCGGCCCGCAGCCCCGGGGCACCUCAUACGGCUCUGCGGUCCUCUCCCCGGUUGGGGGUUCCCUCUCUCUCUCCGGCCAACGGGCUUCGCAGCCCCGCGUGUCCGGUCCGCGAGGUACGGGGCCCCCUCCUAUCGGGGGUCCAACGGGGGCCGCUGAGUCGAGGCGCACCUGAGAGCGCCUGUGUUGUUACCCGAAAGAUGGUGAACUAUGCCUGGCCAGGACGAAGCCAGGGGAAACCCUGGUGGAAGUCCGUAGCGAUUCUGACGUGCAAAUCGAUCGUCGGAGCUGGGUAUAGGGGCGAAAGACUAAUCGAACCAUCUAGUAGCUGGUUCCCUCCGAAGUUUCCCUCAGGAUAGCUGGCACUCGGAGAAGACCGGGAUGAUGAGUCUCAUCCGGUAAAGCGAAUGAUUAGAGGCCUUGGGGCCGAAACGACCUCAACCUAUUCUCAAACUUUAAAUGGGUGAGAACCCCGGCUUGCUUGAGACGGGGAGACCCCCGCGCAGAACGCCGUCCGGCCCGCCCGUCGUCGUGUCCGCGCCCGCCCGCCCGUGUCCUCGGGUGCCCUCUGCUUCCCGGCUUCGCGGCCGGUGGCUCUGGGAUUUCCUGGGGGCAACGGUGUCGGGGGGUGUCGCGGGCAAUGUUCGGCGGAACGGUCACCGGGCGGUAGGGGGCUCCCUCAUGAACAGUUUUUAUAAUGAAGCCGGGGAAUUUUCUUACUGGAUCAUGAGUGCCAAGUGGGCCAAUUUUGGUAAGCAGAACUGGCGCUGUGGGAUGAACCAAACGCAGAGUUAAAGCGCCUAAAUGGACGCUCAUGGGAGACCAUGAAAGGUGUUGGUUGCUUAAGACAGCAGGACGGUGGCCAUGGAAGUCGGAAUCCGCUAAGGAGUGUGUAACAACUCACCUGCCGAAGCAACUAGCCCUUAAAAUGGAUGGCGCUGAAGCGUCCUGCUCAUACUCUGCCGCCGGUGGCAAAAGCGGCCGGUAAGGCGGACGGGCUUCCCCCCUGGCGGGGGUCGCAUCCGGCCCCGAGCCCUGAGGCCCCGGUGAGUAGGAGGGUCGCUCGGGUGUGCGCAGAAGGGUCUGGGCGUGAGCCUGCCUGGAGCCGCCCGAGGUGCAGAUCUUGGUGGUAGUAGCAAAUACUCCAGAGAGGGCCCUGGAGGGCUGAUGCGGAGAAGGGUUCCGUGUGAACAGCUGUUGCACACGGGUCAGUCGAUCCUAAGCCCUAGGAGAACUCCUAUGUGCGAUGUCACGGGUGGUUAUUGAACCGAUUAAACACUAUAAAACCCCCGUCGCCGGGCGAAAGGGAAUCAGGUUCCUAUUCCUGAACCCAGAUGCGGUACCGUUCCACCGGGCUUGUCUCGAAGCCGUCCCCCGUGCCGUGUUUAGCGGGCCCCGGGGGGCCGCGCGCGCUGCGGCACACUCGCUGUGUCCGCUCGCGUGUCGGUCUCCCCCGCGGGUACCGCGGCGGCACCGGCGGGGCGCGCCUAGGGCGAACUCGUCGGGGUAACCCGAACAGCCGCGGAGAAGCCGGCAGGAGCCCCCGGGAGAGUUGUCUUUUCUGUAUUACCGCGCAAGUUCCCUGGAAUUCCAUUGCGGAGAGAGAGGGAAUAGCGCGGGAAGAGCACCGCACUUGCGGCGGUGUCGGGGGUGUCCUCUCGGACCAUGAAAAUC
RNAcentral lists this ribosomal RNA (2798 nucleotides) under Phaulothrips sp. TH94. RNAcentral's name for it is "partial 28S ribosomal RNA". It matches the Rfam family "Eukaryotic large subunit ribosomal RNA", at positions 83 to 1813 of the family's 3401-position model. Lineage: Eukaryota; Metazoa; Arthropoda; Insecta; Thysanoptera; Phlaeothripidae. The record is from RNAcentral.